RNAcentral lists this ribosomal RNA (429 nucleotides) under Actinomycetes bacterium. RNAcentral describes it as "Actinobacteria bacterium partial 16S ribosomal RNA". It matches the Rfam family "Bacterial small subunit ribosomal RNA", at positions 355 to 776 of the family's 1533-position model. The record is from RNAcentral. Lineage: Bacteria; Bacillati; Actinomycetota; Actinomycetes.
UAGGGAAUCUUCCGCAAUGGGCGAAAGCCUGACGGAGCAACGCCGCGUGAGUGAUGAAGGUCUUCGGAUCGUAAAACUCUGUUAUUAGGGAAGAACAAAUGUGUAAGUACCUAUGCACGUCUUUACGGUACCUAAUCAGAAAGCCACGGCUAACUACGUGCCAGCAGCCGCGGUAAUACGUAGGUGGCAAGCGUUAUCCGGAAUUAUUGGGCGUAAAGCGCGCGUAGGCGGUUUUUUAAGUCUGAUGUGAAAGCCCACGGCUCAACCGUGGAGGGUCAUUGGAAACUGGAAAACUUGAGUGCAUAAGAGUAAAGUGGAAUUCCAUGUGUAGCGGUGAAAUGCGCAGAGAUAUGGAGGAACACCAGUGGCGAAGGCGACUUUCUGGUCUGUAACUGACGCUGAUGUGCGAAAGCGUGGGGAUCAAACAGG